This 311-nucleotide ribosomal RNA is filed under the name uncultured Alphaproteobacteria bacterium. RNAcentral describes it as "bacterial SSU rRNA". It matches the Rfam family "Bacterial small subunit ribosomal RNA", at positions 1 to 346 of the family's 1533-position model. The record is from RNAcentral. Lineage: Bacteria; Pseudomonadati; Pseudomonadota; Alphaproteobacteria.
UAGUGAGUUUGAUCCUGGCUCAGAACGAACGCUGGCGGCAGGCCUAACACAUGCAAGUCGAGCGCCCCGCAAGGGGAGCGGCGGACGGGUGAGUAACGCGUGGGAACGUACCCUUUGCUACGGAAUAGCCUCGGGAAACUGGGAGUAAUACCGUAUGUGCCCUUCGGGGGAAAGAUUUAUCGCCGAAGGAUCGGCCCGCGUCCGAUUAGCUAGUUGGUGAGGUAAUGGCUCACCAAGGCGACGAUCGGUAGGUGGUCUGAGAGGACGAUCACCCAGACUGGGACUGAGACACGGCCCAGACUCCUACGGGA